AUACGAAGGGGGCUAGCGUUGCACGGAAUGACUGGGCGUAAAGGGUGCGUAGGCGGCGCUGUAAGUCAGACGUGAAAUUCCUGGGCUUAACCUGGGGACUGCGUUUGAGACUGUGGUGCUAGGGGGUGGAAGAGGCUCGUGGAAUUCCCAGUGUAGAGGUGAAAUUCGUAGAUAUUGGGAAGAACACCGGUGGCGAAGGCGGCGAGCUGGUCCAUUACUGACGCUGAGGCACGAUAGCGGUGGGGAGAC
RNAcentral lists this ribosomal RNA (249 nucleotides) under uncultured bacterium. RNAcentral's name for it is "partial 16S ribosomal RNA". It matches the Rfam family "Bacterial small subunit ribosomal RNA", at positions 523 to 771 of the family's 1533-position model. The record is from RNAcentral.